RNAcentral lists this ribosomal RNA (253 nucleotides) under uncultured bacterium. RNAcentral's name for it is "partial 16S ribosomal RNA". It matches the Rfam family "Bacterial small subunit ribosomal RNA", at positions 524 to 776 of the family's 1533-position model. The record is from RNAcentral.
UACGUAGGUGGCAAGCGUUGUCCGGAUUUACUGGGCGUAAAGAGCGCGCAGGCGGUCGUUCAAGUCGCGUGUGAAAGCCCCCGGCUCAACUGGGGAGGGUCACGCGAUACUGAUCGACUCGAAGGCAGGAGAGGGUAGUGGAAUUCCCGGUGUAGUGGUGAAAUGCGCAGAUAUCAGGAGGAACACCGGUGGCGAAGGCGGGUCUCUGGGCCGAUACUGACGCUGAGGAGCGAAAGCGUGGGGAGCAAACAGG